AGGACGACGCUGGCGGCGUGCCUAAUACAUGCAAGUCGAACGGUCUUUUCUAUGGAAGCUUGCUUCCACUGAGAAGAUAGUGGCGAACGGGUGAGUAACACGUGGGUAACCUGCCCAUAAGAGGGGGAUAACAUCCGGAAACGGGUGCUAAUACCGCAUAGUUUUCUUGAUCGCAUGAUCGGGAAAGGAAAGACGGCCUUUGUGCUGUCGCUUAUGGAUGGACCCGCGGCGUAUUAGUUAGUUGGUGAGGUAACGGCUCACCAAGACGAUGAUACGUAGCCGACCUGAGAGGGUGAUCGGCCACAUUGGGACUGAGACACGGCCCAAACUCCUACGGGAGGCAGCAGUAGGGAAUCUUCCGCAAUGGACGAAAGUCUGACGGAGCAACGCCGCGUGAGUGAAGAAAGGUUUUCGGAUCGUAAAACUCUGUUGUCAGAGAAGAACAAGUUGGAGAGUAACUGCUCCAGCCUUGACGGUAUCUGACCAGAAAGCCACGGCUAACUACGUGCCAGCCGCCGC
RNAcentral lists this ribosomal RNA (519 nucleotides) under uncultured bacterium. RNAcentral describes it as "bacterial SSU rRNA". It matches the Rfam family "Bacterial small subunit ribosomal RNA", at positions 32 to 518 of the family's 1533-position model. The record is from RNAcentral.